GAUGAACGCUGGCGGCGUGCAUAACACAUGCAAGUCGAACGAUGAAACUUAGUAUACUUCUUCGGAAAGACACUAAGCGGAUUAGUGGCGAACGGGUGAGUAACGCGUGAGUAACCUGCCUUACACAAGGGGAUAGCCUUUGGAAACGAAGAAUAAUACCCUAUAAAACCAUAAAAGCACAUGCUAGAAUGGUCCAAUUGAUAGCGGGGUAAGGUGGACUUGCGUCUGAUUAGCUAGUUGUUGAGAUAAAAGCUCACCAAGGCAACGAUCAGUAGCCGGCUUGAGAGAGUAUACGGCCCCAUUGGGACUGAGACACGGCCCAGCCUCCUCCGGGUGGCAGCAGUGGGGAAUUUUGCGCACUGGCGGCAACCCUGAUGCCGCGUCGCCCCGUGAUUUAGAAGGCCUUCAGGUUGUAAAAAUCUUUUGUAUAGGAAGACAAUGACAGUACUAUACGAAUAAGGUCCGGCUAAUUACGUG
RNAcentral lists this ribosomal RNA (477 nucleotides) under uncultured bacterium. RNAcentral's name for it is "partial 16S ribosomal RNA". It matches the Rfam family "Bacterial small subunit ribosomal RNA", at positions 28 to 507 of the family's 1533-position model. The record is from RNAcentral.